Molecule: unclassified non-coding RNA, 3985 nt
Filed under: Patiria miniata (bat star)
Lineage: Eukaryota; Metazoa; Echinodermata; Asteroidea; Valvatida; Asterinidae
Description: wD repeat-containing protein 82-like, transcript variant X1
Source: RNAcentral
CACAUGGGUACAAAUUUUCAUUUACCCGAAAAGGUUUGGUGCUCAACAUGUACGCGGAGUUGCUGCAGGAUCAAUAAGCAAAUUUAAUGGAAAUUUGGCACGAAUGUGGAUCAUCUUUUCAACGUAUUUACCCGUAAAUAGGCAGGUGCUUUACCGAGGAUAGCUUGAGGUAGCAACUUUGUGGUCGACGGGGUCUACAAGAGGGGGGAAAAUGAAGCUUUCGGACUCGGUGAUGCGAAGUUUUCGCGUGGCAAAAUUAUACAAGGAUCAAAACACCGAACGCAUAAACAGCAUUGACUUUUCGCACAAUGGAGAGACGAUGAUAUCGAGCAGUGAAGAUGAUUCCAUCGUCAUUUAUGACUGCUUGGAGGGAAAGCCAAAGAAAACACUCUACAGUAAGAAGUAUGGUGUGGAUAUGAUCCGGUUUACCCACGCAGUCAACACGGUCAUCUAUACCUCUAAUAAGAUGGAUGACAACAUCCGAUAUCUCUCCCUGCAUGACAAUAAGUACAUCCGGUAUUUCUCCGGCCACACCAAAAAAGUCGUCAGUUUAAGUAUGUCACCGAUUGAUGAUAGUUUCCUGUCGGGUUCAUUGGAUAAGACGGUCAGAUUGUGGGAUCUUAGGUCACCAAAUUGUCAGGGUCUAAUGCAUUUACAAGGGAGGCCUGUUGCUUCAUUUGACCCGGAGGGUCUCAUCUUUGCAUGUGGCGUCAACUCAGAGCUCAUCAAGCUUUACGACUUAAGAUCCUUUGACAAGGGUCCGUUUACAACCUUCAGACUACAGCAGGACCGCGACUGCGACUGGACGUCGCUCAAGUUCAGCGCCGACGGCAAGUUGAUCCUUAUAUCCACCAACGGCGCGGUCAUCCGGUUGGUGGAUGCGUUCAGCGGACAACCCAAGCAGACCUUCAUGGGUCAUCUCAAUCAGAAGGGUUUGUUAUUAGAGUCUUCGUUCAGUCCAGAUGCAAAGUAUGUCCUGUCAGGAUCGCAGGAUGGCAAAGUGCACGUGUGGAAUGCAGAGAACGGCACCAAGACGGCCGUCUUAGAAUCCAAGCAUUGUGAAUCACCCAUGCACUGCGUCCAAUUCAACCCCAAAUUCAUGAUGCUGGCCACGGCAGCACAACACAUGGCAUUCUGGUUACCAAGCAUAGAUGAAUGAAGACACCCGAGCCUGACCGAGACCCAGUAGUAGUCCAAGACAGAGCAAUUGCUGCAGUGUGCUGACUGACCGAAGUGUGUUGAAAAAAGCUGUGCCGUGGUCCUUGCUAUGUAGAGCCUGAAUGCUAUGGUGGUAGAGCUAUAAAGCAAUUGCAUGACACCUCGCGAUGUUGGACAAGACAAAGAAUGGUGUACAGACAAAGCAGAGUCAUAGAGUUAUACAGUUGACUCUCGUUAAUACAAACACUGUUAAUACCAAUUCUGGUUAUAACAAACAUAGACCCUUGGCCCCGGCUGUGCUUUAUGUGCACAACAAAUGGGACCGGCACUUCACUUAAUACAAAAUUCUGAUAUAACAAACAUUUUGGCUAGGUCUGACUGAGUUUGUAUUAAUGAGAGUCGACUGUAUUUAACCAAGAGAUUGCACUCGCUGUACGCACACGUGCCGACGUGGACGCGCAGCUGCCAUUCUUUAGGUGGACAAUUUUUGAAUUCUUUCCAAAUGUAGCUCUCUGUGCAUGCGUGCAUACGUACGUACGUACUUGUAUGCGGAGACUGAGUGCACACACAGAAUCACGAUGUUGCUCAGAUGAAGGCAAACAUUGAUGUCUAAUGAUCUUUAUUCUCAUCCAAAUAAAUAGUCAAUGAAUAUUGUUUAAAAAAAGCAGAUUGGAUUAACAAAACUGCCGGUGGUUUCUGCCACUGUUAACUGAAAGUGGGCACAUCCUGGUACUUUACAAUCGUGCCAUGUUCUGAUUAUUACUCUCUUGAGGUUUUUAUUCCCCUAAACAAUGGCGGCCGCACGUCCAUUUCGGCACGUGCGCGUAGUAUAGCGAGUGCGCUUUCUAGUUAAAAAAAAAAUAUAACUCUUGUGGUGAAACUAGACACGAAAACUGCAUUUAAGUACGAACCAACCCUUAGGUUAUGCGAGGCAUGUGUCAAGAAAUUCUGGAACCAAACAACCUGCCUUUGCAACGGAAAAGUUUUCUCUGUUGGGCAACUGUAACCCCAUCCAUGAACUGAACUGUAUUAAAUGAACCGGUUAAAAUUGCUUACUUCAGCUGAGGUGAUGUCCGAGUUGUCGUGUCCUCACUCUCAAGUCGGUCACAAGACAUCCAGUCUCAAGUCAAGUCACAAUCUGAGCUGCUGUAUUGAAAUAACUUGUUCAUUCUCGGUUCCUUCUUCCUGGACUUGACCACUACUCUUGGUGAUGUACACAUGGGUGAUGUACUCGUGCGUUGAUGUCGUUAGUAAGUCAGGCGUGAUGUAAAUAAUGUAAAGUGUAGUCUAGAGAUAACUAAAGUGAAACCGUUUUAGUAAGCACAGGAUGGCAGUAUGCACAAAAAAAGGAGGCCAUGCUCUGUUGAAUAUAAUGAGCUCGAUUGUGACACCCCAUGCCAAAUGCCUGCAUUCCCUCUAAUUUCUACGUAUGAAGUGUUCCAUUCUGAAAUGUUUCCAAGACUGUUUGUUGAUUGUAUGACUGUUUACAUACGCAAGACAAAUGGGUUACGAUGCCACUUUUUAUUGGUUUGUAUUUUUUUUAUUACUUAAAUUUUUGGGAUGGGGCAGGAAGUAUUUUGUAUCGGCAUGGGGUGUCGCCGUUUGUUUUUGUGACGUGAUGUAUUUUAGUGAUAGAAUGUGAUAUAUUAUCUGAGCAUCAGUGACAAAGUAACAGAAAUCAUCGAUAGAUAUCUCCCCCCCCCCCCCCCUUUUUACUAUCAAAAUGUAAAUUAUAUUAGAAUCAGAUAUUGAUUGGACAGGUAUUAUAGACCCGCAUGCAUUGGUAACAUUUCGUGUUUCGCUAUUAGUUCCAAUUGAAUAAUCACAGUGAAAAACAGGCUCCAUUCAAUUUCUGUUGUUGCCAUUACAAUUUUCUGGGAGAUUUUUUUUAAAAGAGCUUUUCAGCUUCCACACCAAAGCCCUAUUGUUGCAUCUCUGCCAUUCACAGGUAAAUUGCUUUCCCUUAAAGCUACAGUCCAUCAUUUGCAGCUAUCCAAAAAGUAACUGACGUAAUUAUUGUUGCAAAACAUACUUGGUUGCACUCCCUCUGAAAUUAGUCUUUCUGGCAAGCUGUCAUUUUAAAGAAUUCAAUGAAAGAAGGCCUUUCCAACUUUGUUUUUUUUUUAUUCGGCGAAGUUAGUUACAACGCACAUGUGUGCGCGCGGUUGUUAUAAUUCGUCAGUUCAGUGCGCGACAUUGCGUACCUGCAAUCGGCUCAGUGAGAACGUGUCUCGGACGCUGAAUUCAGGUCCAAUUAAAAACACGACUCGGCAACUUUCGAUUUGAAAUCGAGAUCCUAGAAUAUUGUUUUCUCAGAAUAUACAGCAUUAACUGAGCUGAAACUUCGUCAUGUUAGUUUUUAAGCACCCUUCUUUAGAUUUUGAGCAUUUUUGUUGCUUCAAACGAACAUAAUGCACAAAUUACAAAUGAUGGACUGUACCUUUAAUGGCGGGCGCGGACUUCCAGGGAUUGGCUUAUCUAGCCCCAAGAACUCAAUGGUUCUCGAGUCUGGAGUGCUGAAUGGUAACACAUAGCAACCGAUUAUAAACCCACAUGCUGAGGAAAAGAUGUUUUCAUCGGCUCGGCUGAUUAUGAAUAAUGCCGCCCACGCUUAUAUACAGAAGGUUAUUGGAAAAAGGACAUGGAUUUCUAUUUUUUAGUCUUUCGGUGCAAGUAACAAAAUAAUAUUAUCACUUUUUUUUUUUUCAUUGAAAUGCAAUCCAAUCCACAUUUUUUUACAUGUAAAUAAAUACACUGUCUCUUUUGUAUUUAGAAUGUCUUGUCUGGUGACUUUUGUAAAAUAAAGACAUUGAAACCUGAGAAGAGA